AUGUAGGUACCUUGUUUUAGAUAUAGCAGAUAACCCUGUGGAAAAUAUUAUUAGAUAUUUCCAAAUGACUAAAGAAUUUAUUGAUGGAUGUUUAGAGACAGGGGGAAAGGUACUUGUUCAUGGAAAUGCAGGGAUAUCAAGAAGCGCUGCCUUAGUUAUUGCCUACCUUAUGGAGACAUUUGGUGUGAAAUACAGGGAUGCCUUUAGUCAUGUACAAGAGAGACGAUUUUGCAUUAAUCCCAAUGUAGGCUUUGUUCAUCAGCUACAGGUAU
Sinocyclocheilus anshuiensis is the source of this 272-nucleotide long non-coding RNA. RefSeq lists it as uncharacterized. The record is from RefSeq and is a predicted model, not a curated record. The transcript has 5 exons. Lineage: Eukaryota; Metazoa; Chordata; Actinopteri; Cypriniformes; Cyprinidae.